UCCGAGGUAGCUCAGCGGUAGAGCGGCCGCCUGUUAAGCGGUUGGUCGUAGGUUCGAUCCCUACCCUCGGAGCCA
RNAcentral lists this transfer RNA (75 nucleotides) under Candidatus Nomurabacteria bacterium RIFOXYC2_FULL_36_19. RNAcentral describes it as "tRNA-Asn". It matches the Rfam family "tRNA". Rfam says of the family: Transfer RNA (tRNA) molecules are approximately 80 nucleotides in length. Their secondary structure includes four short double-helical elements and three loops (D, anti-codon, and T loops). Further hydrogen bonds mediate the characteristic L-shaped molecular structure. tRNAs have two regions of fundamental functional importance: the anti-codon, which is responsible for specific mRNA codon recognition, and the 3' end, to which the tRNAs corresponding amino acid is attached (by aminoacyl-tRNA synthetases). tRNAs cope with the degeneracy of the genetic code in two manners: having more than one tRNA (with a specific anti-codon) for a particular amino acid; and 'wobble' base-pairing, i.e. permitting non-standard base-pairing at the 3rd anti-codon position. The record is from RNAcentral. RNAcentral also lists the same sequence under 1 other name. Lineage: Bacteria; Candidatus Nomuraibacteriota.